AGCAUAGCGAUUUGGGAUAAGUCCCUUGGAAAAGGGCAGCAUGGAGGGUGAUACUCCCGUCUCUGCUCGGAUUGUCUGUGUGUACGAUACGCUUUCUUUGAGUCGAGUUGUUUGGGAAUACAGCUCAAAGUAGGUGGUAAAUUCCAUCUAAAGCUAAAUAUUGGUGCGAGACCGAUAGCGAACAAGUACCGUGAGGGGAAGAUGAAAAGAACUUUGAAAAGAGAGUUAAAGAGUACCUGAAACUGUUGAAAGGGAACCGUAUCGUUUCCAGUGUUCUAUCCUGUGCAUAUUUCAUUAGCGGAGCAAUUUGCUGGUGCCCUGUGCAUGGGUGUGACGUCAGAGUCAGUUUGUAUGCUGCGGGAGAUGGUCAGUGAGGAGGUGCGUCACUUCGGUGAAAGUUAUAUCUCGCUGUCUAGUAGCCGUGGUUGAGACUGAGGUGCC
This 441-nucleotide ribosomal RNA is filed under the name uncultured Oomycota. Its description in RNAcentral is "LSU rRNA". It matches the Rfam family "Eukaryotic large subunit ribosomal RNA", at positions 165 to 609 of the family's 3401-position model. The record is from RNAcentral. Lineage: Eukaryota; Oomycota.